GAUGAACGCUGGCGGCGUGCCUAAUACAUGCAAGUCGAGCGAACAGACGAGUAUCUUGCUCCUCUGACUUUAGCGGCGCACGGGGGAGCAACACGUGGACACCCUUCCUACUAGACUGGGAUAUCUUCGGGAAACAGGAGCUAUUAUCGGCCAAUAUAUAGAACCGUAUGGUCCCAUUGUUAUUGACGCUCUUGCUGUUCCGUAUAGACGUACCCGCGCCUCAUUAGCUAGUUGGUAAGGUAACGGCUUACCAAGGCAACGAUGCGUAGCCGACCUGAGAGGGUGAUCCGCCAAACUGGAACUGAGACACGGUCCAGACUCCUACGGGAGGCAGCAGUAGGGAAUCUUCCGCAAUGGGCGAAAGCUUGACGGAGCAACGCCGCGUGAGUGAUGAAGGUCUUCGGAUCGUAAAACUCUGUUAUUAGGGAAGAACAAAUGUGUAAGUAACUAUGCACGUCUUGACGGUACCUAAUCAGAAAGCCACGGCUAACUACGUG
This 497-nucleotide ribosomal RNA is filed under the name uncultured bacterium. RNAcentral describes it as "partial 16S ribosomal RNA". It matches the Rfam family "Bacterial small subunit ribosomal RNA", at positions 28 to 507 of the family's 1533-position model. The record is from RNAcentral.